CUCUGAUGUAUUAGUAGGACAAUACUGUACCGCAGGCAGCAGUGCUGUAUGUUGUUGCAAAAGGCAAGUAACAAAGGAAGACAGACUGGUUGGUCAGGGUUUCAUCCUACAGCAAGUUAAUGAGCCAAAACUUUGGAGGAACAAAGGCAGAUGGUGGCCUCACAUGAUGGAAGAGCAGCACAGACUCCAGACUUAAACCCCAUGGAGCUGGUUUUGGGAUGAAAUGGACAGGAGGUGAAGGCAAAGCAAAUAUUUGCAGGAACUUCUGCAACAGUGUUGGGACAAACUUUCUGAACAAAAUGGAGAAAGAAAGACGCCACAAAGUACACGAAGACAAACAUCUGAGUAACAACAGAAAAAACGGAGGAGAACACUUUGAACACUUUGAACCCCUGCUGGUCCAUCUGGAGGCUCUGGACCACAUGACUCUCCUUCUCCCUCGGUGGAAGUAUUUGAUGGCUAAAGGUGUCAGUGUGCUCCAGUCAGAGUGUUUGUCAGAUGGUUGAGUAGCGUCUGAAACCUCCUUGCCCCACAUCUUUCCAGUGUCAGAACUAGGGGAGAAAGUAAAGAUGGGUUUGGAAUUUUCUCUCAGGAUCGUUUUUCAUUCUUUACACAACCAUUUUUUUUUAUGUAUGUGGACAAAAUGCCCUCUAGGAGACAUUGUGUGAAAGUUUAAGCUCCAUGUUUAAACUAUAAUCGCCUCUCUAUGACGAGUGUCUUUUUGCCUGCUUUCAAGUGCGGCUGUUCAGAGUAACUAUAAAUAACUCUUACUUCUGACUUGGUUGGACAACACGCAAACUAGUUUAUUUCGAGCAUACCGAGGCUCCACUGCAAUGUCAGCUGUUAUGUGCCAGUGAUAGCAGCCUUCCUCCAGGACCUACAGGCUGUUCACAGACUCUUCAGCUGCAGCAGAGAAGGACAACACUGCAGAAGUGUGGAGGCCUUCUGGUUCCUCGUCUGAGGUUCAUACCAAAUGGCGUCCUGUCAGUGAAUCUGAGAACGUUAUAACAUAUCAACUCCCUCUCGGUCCAAUGUGCAUCAAGCCUCUCGCUGCAGGAGCCUGAUGGGUGGAGUUCAGUCGUCAGGAAGAUUUUGCUCAUCUGGUCUGGCGGCACUAUAUAAACUGGUGGCAGUCAGCUGGUCAGUGGGCCAAUCCCAGUGUCCACCCUCACAGACUGUGAGACAUGCUUCCGAACGGACCCAGCAGCAUAUGCCAGUUUCAUGGCUUUUUUUGAGGUUGCCUCACGGUCAGCCUGGUGGCUGGUGGCUGGUGGCUGACCCUCUGUCUGAUUCGGCUCUGGAGGCCCCUGAGCCGUCUCCUUUUUGGGAACCCGGCGGGCCUUCUCAGAGGUAUCUAGGGGAGGGAGCCCCUGGGAAGAAAUGCAUUUCACCGAGACACCGGUUCCCCAAGCAGCCUCAGACCCAGAACUUCAGCUUCCAGCACGAGCCCCAACUACCCCACUAUCAAGAACCUCUGCUCUCUGGUGACCAGGAGCCUUUCGCCAACCGCCCUGGCUGACGGCGGCCCAGCUGACUCCUGAUUCUGGUUCCCAGUCAGACAUUUUGCAUUUACUCCCUUGUGCAGUUACACACUGAAAUAUCUCAAUCAGUAUGGGAUGAAUAGCCAUGAAAUUUUAUUGAAACAGUCAUGGUCUCCAGAAGAUUGUAGUCCUACUGACUUGGUGAUACCAUGUGUUUUCUUCUAGCAUCACCAUGAUGUUGACAUCUGUAGUUUUAAGCGAAAUGUCAACAACACAUUGAGGCAAAUAAUGAGAUGUGCUAAUAAAGUUUAAAUUGCAUGCAA
Long non-coding RNA from Seriola aureovittata, 1804 nucleotides. RefSeq lists it as uncharacterized. The transcript is spliced from 5 exons. Lineage: Eukaryota; Metazoa; Chordata; Actinopteri; Carangiformes; Carangidae. The record is from RefSeq and is a predicted model, not a curated record.